Molecule: long non-coding RNA, 1499 nt
Organism: Sapajus apella (tufted capuchin)
Lineage: Eukaryota; Metazoa; Chordata; Mammalia; Primates; Cebidae
Exons: 2
Source: RefSeq, a predicted model, not a curated record
UUAAGUGAUCCACCUGCCUUGGCCUCUCAAAAUGCUGGGAUUGCAGGCAUGAGCCACCAUGUCUGAUGGAGACUGUCUUUCCCUUGGUCUUCUUUGGGUCUCUAUCCCUCCCCACUGUCAAGCUGAUGGCCGUGUCCCUCCAUGCCAGCAACGUGUGUGCCUCUGUCAUUCUCAAGGGUAAUAGCAGCUUACACCCAUCUCAUAGGUAGCGUAGACAGUUGUUUAUAUUAUUCAUGCCUCUUUUAAAAGUAACUUCUGUAUACCUUUUAUUUUAAUAAAAAAGAAUUCAUAAUUCAAUAUAAUUGGAAACACUUCUGAAUAUUUCCUGAAGACUCUUAAGGAUUAUUCAGGCUGCAUGGUGUGGGGAAAAACCAAGGCUGGGUCUUAGAGGGUUAAAAACACCUGUCUGGAAGGGGACCCUGAAGAUCGCAGCUCAUCUCAGGGAACUUGCCCUGAGCAUUAAGGCAGGAAGCCACCUAGAACGGUAAGGAUCACCCCGAACUCGGGAGGCUUUAGAAUUUAUUUUUUCAUUAAUGAAUGCUUCAGAAAGUGCACUGUCCCUAAUUCCCUUCUUUGAAAGAUGGAAACUUUAAUGUGCAGUUAAUUAAAUGUUGUGUUGAUUUGCAAGCCCUGAGCUCUCAGAGGCCUUGGGGAGGUGGAGGCAGGUUUAGAAAUCAAACAACGGGCGGGACUGGCUGUCCCAGCUCUGACCACAGUGCAGGCAGCACUGUUUGCUGCAGAUGCCCAGGAGGCGUCCAAGGCACCCCUGUGACCGGACCCGCGGUUCUGAGCCUUGGUGAUUCGUGAACGGCUCUGUUUACCAUUGAGAGGAGCAGAGCCCAGGCAACAGGUCCAGGCCCCGGCAGGGAGGAGGCUGGCCUGAGCCUACAUCUCUCUCCUGGCUGCCUGGCUUUCAGAAGCAUUCUUUAAACAGUUUUUUUUUCCUAGUGCUUCAGCAGGUCUUUGUGCUGAGAGGAGCUGUGUCAUGCUGGAAUUCUUUUCACAACAAACUAAAGAACCCAGCUGUGGCGCUGGAUGCAGCCUGAGAACCUGCAGGCUUUCUGUAUGCAGUUAUUUACCAAGGGGAGCAGUGAAGCUGCUGAGAUGAGGAAAUGUAGUCAAGAAAUUGAGUAGUGUGAUUUUGCAAGAAAAAGUGUGGAUUGCUCCAAAUAACUAGCGCCUGUUAGCAGUGACAAGUUUAUCAUCCAUUUGGCCCUGGCUAAAGGCACAACUUAUGCAGUUACCAAAUGACAACUUGCAGGGUUAUUGCUACCAGAGCAUACUUCCUUCAUCCCUGCUCAUGGAAAGAACAAAGCAUCAGUACCUAAUGAAAAUACGCUUGCUUAUUGUUUUGGCAUGGGAAUCCCUUUCUUGUAACUCUUCUGCGUGGUCAGCUUGUUUACGAUGCCCCAAGGAGUUGGUGAAGAUCUGAGGAUUGGCUUUGGAGGGUCCUGGCAGUGCUACUAUAUUCUUAUUAUGAAUAAAAAUUUUAAACCCAA